GUUUUCCAUCUGUGUUGCAUGUUAUUCAUUGGGGUUCUCGUUUCCUUUUGGGAGAAGGUGUCAGUGUUGAACCCGGCGCGUAUCGCGGUCUGGUACGUAAUGCUGCUCCCAGACAGACAGCCCUACGCCCUCAAUGGAGAUGACGCUGGUGCCUGAAGGCGAUAUUUUUCCCGCGGACUGCGUGGCUGGUGGGAUGGUAAUGCCGAGGAGGGGAGCAGCUCCACAGCUCACUGCCCUCACCCGAGCAACCGCCUGAGGAGCACCGCGACAAAGCCAGGCGUUACCCCGGUCCCUGCUGCAUCGCUGCGAAGGGUGGGAGCAGCGCACCUACCCGCUGCGGGGGCUCCUCAGGGACCCACCGCUUGCCAGCUUCCCUCCACCAUCCUCUGCAGUGGCCUGUUCCCACGUACACGUGUCUGGGAAAGUGCCAAGAUCACAACCAAAAGGGAGUCACCAAUACGGAUUUGGUGUGCGGCUAAGAAACUACCUGUGGAGAAAGCUCUGAACAAAACAGAUCAUUGUUGUUUUCCCGUCUUAAGAGGGAAUUGUGUACCAUGUAACCAGACAGCUAUACACCUUCAGCUGCAGACCACUGAGUGGAGUCUAUGGACCACCAGCUUGGAGAGCCUCUGCUUUAAACCUCUAAAUGAUUCAACAUUUGUUCCCUCCGAUGACACCACGAAUCUGGGAAUGAAGAACUUCUUAGAGCUAAUUGAAAAUGGCAUUGCGGAGCUGAGACUUAACUGGAGGAAAUAUAUCUCCUGA
Molecule: long non-coding RNA, 765 nt
Organism: Melopsittacus undulatus (budgerigar)
Lineage: Eukaryota; Metazoa; Chordata; Aves; Psittaciformes; Psittaculidae
Source: Ensembl